AGGGUUUGAUCCUGGCUCAGGAUGAACGCUGGCGGCGUGCUUAACACAUGCAAGUCGAACGAACCUUCGGGUUAGUGGCGGACGGGUGAGUAACGCGUGAGAAUCUGCCCUCAGGAGGGGGAUAACGGUUGGAAACGACCGCUAAUACCCCAUAUGCCUACUGGUGAAAUGAAUUUCGCCUGAGGAUGAGCUCGCGUCUGAUUAGCUAGUUGGUGAGGUAAUGGCUCACCAAGGCUUCGAUCAGUAGCUGGUCUGAGAGGAUGAUCAGCCACACUGGGACUGAGACACGGCCCAGACUCCUACGGGAGGCAGCAGUGGGGAAUUUUCCGCAAUGGGCGAAAGCCUGACGGAGCAACGCCGCGUGAGGGACGAAGGCCUCUGGGCUGUAAACCUCUUUUCUCAAGGAAGAAGAUAUGACGGUACUUGAGGAAUAAGCCACGGCUAAUUCCGUGCCAGCAGCCGCGGUAAUACGGGAGUGGCAAGCGUUAUCCGGAAUUAUUGGGCGUAAAGCGUCCGCAGGCGGCUUUUCAAGUCUGCUGUUAAAGCGUGGAGCUUAACUCCAUCAUGGCAGUGGAAACUGAAAGGCUUGAGUAUGGUAGGGGCAGAGGGAAUUCCCGGUGUAGCGGUGAAAUGCGUAGAUAUCGGGAAGAACACCAGUGGCGAAGGCGCUCUGCUGGGCCAUUACUGACGCUCAUGGACGAAAGCCAGGGGAGCGAAAGGGAUUAGAUACCCCUGUAGUCCUGGCCGUAAACGAUGAACACUAGUGUCGGGGGAAUCGACCCCUUUCGGUGUCGUAGCUACGCGUUAAGUGUUCCGCCUGGGGAGUACGCACGCAAGUGUGAAAC
This 845-nucleotide ribosomal RNA is filed under the name uncultured bacterium. RNAcentral's name for it is "bacterial SSU rRNA". It matches the Rfam family "Bacterial small subunit ribosomal RNA", at positions 8 to 900 of the family's 1533-position model. The record is from RNAcentral.